CAGUCGCCACGGGAAUACAGAGGUCUCAAGCGUUGUUCGGAUUCAUUGGGCAUAAAGGGAGCGUAGGCGGUCGGGUAAGUCGGAUGUGAAAUCCUGGGGCUCAACCUCAGAACUGCAUUCGAUACUGCUUGGCUAGAGGACUGGAGAGGUGAGUGGAAUUCACGGUGUAGCAGUGAAAUGCGUAGAUAUCGUGAGGAAGACCAGCGGCGAAGGCGGCUCACUGGACAGUUUCUGACGCUGAUGCUCGAAGGCCAGGGGAGCAAACGGGAUUAGAUACCCCCGUAGUCCCUGUCUCUUAUAC
RNAcentral lists this ribosomal RNA (301 nucleotides) under uncultured bacterium. RNAcentral describes it as "partial 16S ribosomal RNA". It matches the Rfam family "Bacterial small subunit ribosomal RNA", at positions 509 to 807 of the family's 1533-position model. The record is from RNAcentral.